CGCCGGCAGCCGGUAGCUCGUCAGGCUCAUAACCUGAAGGCCGCAGGUUCAAAUCCUGCCCCCGCAACCA
Molecule: transfer RNA, 70 nt
Filed under: Brucella suis
Lineage: Bacteria; Pseudomonadati; Pseudomonadota; Alphaproteobacteria; Hyphomicrobiales; Brucellaceae
Description: tRNA-fMet (CAT) (tRNA-fMet-CAT-2-1)
Rfam family: tRNA (bases 12-61)
About the family: Transfer RNA (tRNA) molecules are approximately 80 nucleotides in length. Their secondary structure includes four short double-helical elements and three loops (D, anti-codon, and T loops). Further hydrogen bonds mediate the characteristic L-shaped molecular structure. tRNAs have two regions of fundamental functional importance: the anti-codon, which is responsible for specific mRNA codon recognition, and the 3' end, to which the tRNAs corresponding amino acid is attached (by aminoacyl-tRNA synthetases). tRNAs cope with the degeneracy of the genetic code in two manners: having more than one tRNA (with a specific anti-codon) for a particular amino acid; and 'wobble' base-pairing, i.e. permitting non-standard base-pairing at the 3rd anti-codon position.
Source: RNAcentral